RNAcentral lists this ribosomal RNA (620 nucleotides) under uncultured Actinomycetes bacterium. RNAcentral describes it as "bacterial SSU rRNA". It matches the Rfam family "Bacterial small subunit ribosomal RNA", at positions 249 to 877 of the family's 1533-position model. Lineage: Bacteria; Bacillati; Actinomycetota; Actinomycetes. The record is from RNAcentral.
UUGGUGGGGUAAUGGCCUACCAAGGCGGCGACGGGUAGCCGGCCUGAGAGGGUGUACGGCCACAUUGGGACUGAGAUACGGCCCAGACUCCUACGGGAGGCAGCAGUGGGGAAUAUUGCACAAUGGGCGCAAGCCUGAUGCAGCGACGCCGCGUGGGGGAUGAAGGCCUUCGGGUUGUAAACUCCUUUCGCUAGGGACGAAGCUUUUUGUGACGGUACCUAGAUAAGAAGCACCGGCUAACUACGUGCCAGCAGCCGCGGUAAUACGUAGGGUGCGAGCGUUGUCCGGAAUUACUGGGCGUAAAGGGCUCGUAGGUGGUUUGUCGCGUCGUCUGUGAAAUUCUGGGGCUUAACUCCGGGCGUGCAGGCGAUACGGGCAUAACUUGAGUGCUGUAGGGGUAACUGGAAUUCCUGGUGUAGCGGUGAAAUGCGCAGAUAUCAGGAGGAACACCGAUGGCGAAGGCAGGUUACUGGGCAGUUACUGACGCUGAGGAGCGAAAGCAUGGGUAGCGAACAGGAUUAGAUACCCUGGUAGUCCAUGCCGUAAACGGUGGGCGCUAGGUGUGAGGGUCUUUCUACGACUUUCGUGCCGUAGCUAACGCAUUAAGCGCCCCGCCUGGG